UGCAGUGGCUGAUUUUGCUGGGAGACCCCAGCCUCCCCUCCCAGGCCAUUUCUGCCUGUUUUCACCCCUCCUGUGGGUCUCCUCUCUGAGCUCUGUUCUGUAGCCCCAGCUCACACUGGGUGGGUCUGAGUCACCCUCAUGUGCCAAAGCCGCCUCCCGGCCAUGUGCCCCAGAAUCCCAGGGCACGGUCUUGGCAUCACACUUGCUUCGGCUUCUCUGUGUGGAGUGCCCCAGAGAAUCUCAAGGCUGCGCUGUGUGAGACUUGGUUGGACUGAGGGCACCAAUGCCAGUGCCGGCUCACUGGGAUCCCGCUGGCCACCUAGCGAUGCCCGUCACUUUCUGGCAACAAAAGCCACCACCGUGACCUUGACGAUAACAGCUAGAAGCCAAGCUGAGCUUGGGAAGAUCUCUCAGGUCCCAGUGCAGUGACCCCUAUUUUAUACUCCACCCCCGCCCCCAUGGACACGUGAGAACCCAAGGUGCCACCAGCUGGGCAGAGGUGCCUCCCCAAGGCAGAGGUCAGAGGAACAAGAGCUGCCCAGACCCAGACGGCCGACAAGUUGCCGGUGAGGAAGGUGUGGUGUUAACAGCUGCUGGAUUCAGCAUGGCUUCUUUUGUGAUUCUGUUCCUGGAUGGAGUCUGGGAUGCCACAGGGAGCCCUAGCCUGACAAGCCACUCCUCAGGGGACAGCAGGGUCCUCUCCAGGAAGGCUGCACUCAGCCUGGCAAGAUUGGUUCACUACAUGCCGCUUUGCCAUGUGGGUGACCCAAGAGCAAGUGAGGACCCCACAGCCGCACAACCCCUUCUGCCUCAUUCUUCCUACCUAAUAAAGUCAGCCCUGAGGAGAAGUUAAGCCCCAAGUAAUAAAAAGAUUAUAGUUACUUUU
Molecule: long non-coding RNA, 886 nt
Organism: Erinaceus europaeus (western European hedgehog)
Lineage: Eukaryota; Metazoa; Chordata; Mammalia; Eulipotyphla; Erinaceidae
Exons: 4
Source: RefSeq, a predicted model, not a curated record